CCUACGGGUGGCAGCAGUGGGGAAUAUUGCACAAUGGGGGAAACCCUGAUGCAGCGACGCCGCGUGAGUGAAGAAGUAAUUCGUUAUGUAAAGCUCUAUCAGCAGGGAAGAAAAUGACGGUACCUGAGUAAGAAGCCCCGGCUAACUACGUGCCAGCAGCCGCGGUAAUACGUAGGGGGCAAGCGUUCUCCGGAUUUACUGGGUGGAAAGGGAGCGGAGACGGCAGUGCAAGUCUGGAGUGAAAGGCGGGGGCUCAACCCCCGGACUGCUCUGGAAACUGUACGGCUGGAGUGCAGGAGAGGUAAGUGGAAUUCCUAGUGUAGCGGUGAAAUGCGUAGAUAUUAGGAGGAACACCAGUGGCGAAGGCGGCUUACUGGACUGUAACUGACGUUGAGGCUCGAAAGCGUGGGGAGCAAACAGGAUUAGAUACCCCAGUAGUC
Molecule: ribosomal RNA, 440 nt
Filed under: uncultured bacterium
Lineage: Bacteria
Description: partial 16S ribosomal RNA
Rfam family: Bacterial small subunit ribosomal RNA
Source: RNAcentral